RNAcentral lists this transfer RNA (69 nucleotides) under Craugastor megacephalus. RNAcentral's name for it is "tRNA-Tyr". It matches the Rfam family "tRNA". Rfam says of the family: Transfer RNA (tRNA) molecules are approximately 80 nucleotides in length. Their secondary structure includes four short double-helical elements and three loops (D, anti-codon, and T loops). Lineage: Eukaryota; Metazoa; Chordata; Amphibia; Anura; Craugastoridae. The record is from RNAcentral.
AGGUAAGAUGGCCGAAGCAGGCGCCGGAUUGUAGCUCCGUUCAUAGAGGUUUAAGUCCUCUUCUUUCCA